GAUGAACGCUGGCGGCGUGCCUAAUACAUGCAAGUCGAGCGAACGGACGAGAAGCUUGCUUCUCUGAUGUUAGCGGCGGACGGGUGAGUAACACGUGGAUAACCUACCUAUAAGACUGGGAUAACUUCGGGAAACCGGAGCUAAUACCGGAUGAUAUUUUGAACCGCAUGGUUCAAAAGUGAAAGACGGUCUUGCUGUCACUUAUAGAUGGAUCCGCGCUGCAUUAGCUAGUUGGUAAGGUAACGGCUUACCAAGGCAACGAUGCAUAGCCGACCUGAGAGGGUGAUCGGCCACACUGGAACUGAGACACGGUCCAGACUCCUACGGGAGGCAGCAGUAGGGAAUCUUCCGCAAUGGGCGAAAGCCUGACGGAGCAACGCCGCGUGAGUGAUGAAGGUCUUCGGAUCGUAAAACUCUGUUAUUAGGGAAGAACAUAUGUGUAAGUAACUGUGCACAUCUUGACGGUACCUAAUCAGAAAGCCACGGCUAACUACGUGCCAGCAGCCGCGGUAAUACGUAGGUGGCAAGCGUUAUCCGGAAUUAUUGGGCGUAAAGCGCGCGUAGGCGGUUUUUUAAGUCUGAUGUGAAAGCCCACGGCUCAUCCGUGGAGGGUCAUUGGAAACUGGAAAACUUGAGUGCAGAAGAGGAAAGUGGAAUUCCAUGUGUAGCGGUGAAAUGCGCAGAGAUAUGGAGGAACACCAGUGGCGAAGGCGACUUUCUGGUCUGUAACUGACGCUGAUGUGCGAAAGCGUGGGGAUCAAACAGGAUUAGAUACCCUGGUAGUCCACGCCGUAAACGAUGAGUGCUAAGUGUUAGGGGGUUUCCGCCCCUUAGUGCUGCAGCUAACGCAUUAAGCACUCCGCCUGGGGAGUACGACCGCAAGGUUGAAACUCAAAGGAAUUGACGGGGACCCGCACAAGCGGUGGAGCAUGUGGUUUAAUUCGAAGCAACGCGAAGAACCUUACCAAAUCUUGACAUCCUUUGACAACUCUAGAGAUAGAGCCUUCCCCUUCGGGGGACAAAGUGACAGGUGGUGCAUGGUUGUCGUCAGCUCGUGUCGUGAGAUGUUGGGUUAAGUCCCGCAACGAGCGCAACCCUUAAGCUUAGUUGCCAUCAUUAAGUUGGGCACUCUAAGUUGACUGCCGGUGACAAACCGGAGGAAGGUGGGGAUGACGUCAAAUCAUCAUGCCCCUUAUGAUUUGGGCUACACACGUGCUACAAUGGACAAUACAAAGGGCAGCGAAACCGCGAGGUCAAGCAAAUCCCAUAAAGUUGUUCUCAGUUCGGAUUGUAGUCUGCAACUCGACUACAUGAAGCUGGAAUCGCUAGUAGUCGUAGAUCAGCAUGCUACGGUGAAUACGUUCCCGGGUCU
Molecule: ribosomal RNA, 1372 nt
Filed under: uncultured bacterium
Lineage: Bacteria
Description: bacterial SSU rRNA
Rfam family: Bacterial small subunit ribosomal RNA
Source: RNAcentral